GCCUUUUUAGCAUAAAGGUAAUGCUACUGUUUUGUAAUCAGAGGAAGUAAGUUCAAUACUUGCAAAAGGCU
Molecule: transfer RNA, 71 nt
Filed under: Cyphellophora attinorum
Lineage: Eukaryota; Fungi; Ascomycota; Eurotiomycetes; Chaetothyriales; Cyphellophoraceae
Description: Phialophora attae tRNA
Rfam family: tRNA
About the family: Transfer RNA (tRNA) molecules are approximately 80 nucleotides in length. Their secondary structure includes four short double-helical elements and three loops (D, anti-codon, and T loops).
Source: Rfam by way of RNAcentral